RNAcentral lists this ribosomal RNA (501 nucleotides) under uncultured bacterium. RNAcentral's name for it is "partial 16S ribosomal RNA". It matches the Rfam family "Bacterial small subunit ribosomal RNA", at positions 30 to 523 of the family's 1533-position model. The record is from RNAcentral.
AUUGAACGCUGGCGGCAGGCUUAACACAUGCAAGUCGAGCGGGGUCAUUGAGCUUGCUACUGGACCUAGCGGCGGACGGGUGAGUAAUGCUUAGGAAUCUGCCUAUUAGUGGGGGACAACAUCUCGAAAGGGAUGCUAAUACCGCAUACGUCCUACGGGAGAAAGCAGGGGAUCUUCGGACCUUGCGCUAAUAGAUGAGCCUAAGUCGGAGUAGCUAGUUGGUGGGGUAAAGGCCUACCAAGGCGACGAUCUGUAGCGGGUCUGAGAGGAUGAUCCGCCACACUGGGACUGAGACACGGCCCAGACUCAUACGGGAGGCAGCAGUGGGGAAUAUUGGACAAUGGGGGGAACCCUGAUCCAGCCAUGCCGCGUGUGUGAAGAAGGCCUUAUGGUUGUAAAGCACUUUAAGCGAGGAGGAGGCUACUCUAGUUAAUACCUAGGGAUAGUGGACGUUACUCGCAGAAUAAGCACCGGCUAACUCUGUGCCAGCAGCCGCCGUAA